Molecule: ribosomal RNA, 365 nt
Filed under: uncultured bacterium
Lineage: Bacteria
Description: bacterial SSU rRNA
Rfam family: Bacterial small subunit ribosomal RNA
Source: RNAcentral
CUCCUACGGGAGGCAGCAGUGGGGAAUAUUGGUCAAUGGGCGAAAGCCUGAACCAGCAAUGCCGCGUGAGUGAUGAAGGCCUUCGGGUUGUAAAGCUCUGUCAGUGGGAACGAAUAAGCCGAUUAAUACUCGGUGGUGACGGUACCCACAAAGGAAGCACCGGCUAACUCUGUGCCAGCAGCCGCGGUAAUACAGAGGGUGCAAGCGUUGUUCGGAAUUACUGGGCGUAAAGCGCGUGUAGGCGGUUUAAUAAGUCGGUCGUGAAAGCCUUUGGCUUAACCAAGGAACUGCGAUCGAAACUAUUAGACUAGAGUAUCGGAGGGGAUGGCGGAAUUCCCGGUGUAGCGGUGAAAUGCGUAGAGAUC